ACUCAAGCUAAUAAGGGCUAACGGCGGAUACCUAGGCACACAGAGG
This 46-nucleotide ribosomal RNA is filed under the name Synechocystis fuscopigmentosa CCALA 191. RNAcentral describes it as "partial 23S ribosomal RNA". The record is from RNAcentral. Lineage: Bacteria; Bacillati; Cyanobacteriota; Cyanophyceae; Synechococcales; Merismopediaceae.